CGGUGGGGGGAGCUUAUACAUGCAAGUCGAGCGGACAGAAGGGAGCUUGCUCCCGGAUGUUAGCGGCGGACGGGUGAGUAACACGUGGGUAACCUGCCUGUAAGACUGGGAUAACUCCGGGAAACCGGAGCUAAUACCGGAUAGUUCCUUGAACCGCAUGGUUCAAGGAUGAAAGACGGUUUCGGCUGUCACUUACAGAUGGACCCGCGGCGCAUUAGCUAGUUGGUGAGGUAACGGCUCACCAAGGCGACGAUGCGUAGCCGACCUGAGAGGGUGAUCGGCCACACUGGGACUGAGACACGGCCCAGACUCCUACGGGAGGCAGCAGUAGGGAAUCUUCCGCAAUGGACGAAAGUCUGACGGAGCAACGCCGCGUGAGUGAUGAAGGUUUUCGGAUCGUAAAGCUCUGUUGUUAGGGAAGAACAAGUGCAAGAGUAACUGCUUGCACCUUGACGGUACCUAACCAGAAAGCCACGGCUAACUACGUGCCAGCAGCCGCGGUAAUACGUAGGUGGCAAGCGUUGUCCGGAAUUAUUGGGCGUAAAGGGCUCGCAGGCGGUUUCUUAAGUCUGAUGUGAAAGCCCCCGGCUCAACCGGGGAGGGUCAUUGGAAACUGGGAAACUUGAGUGCAGAAGAGGAGAGUGGAAUUCCACGUGUAGCGGUGAAAUGCGUAGAGAUGUGGAGGAACACCAGUGGCGAAGGCGACUCUCUGGUCUGUAACUGACGCUGAGGAGCGAAAGCGUGGGGAGCGAACAGGAUUAGAUACCCUGGUAGUCCACGCCGUAAACGAUGAGUGCUAAGUGUUAUGGGGUUUCCGCCCCUUAGUGCUGCAGCUAACGCAUUAAGCACUCCGCCUGGGGAGUACGGUCGCAAGACUGAAACUCAAAGGAAUUGACGGGGGCCCGCACAAGCGGUGAGCAUGUGGUUUAAUUUCGAAGCAACGCGGAGAACCUUACCAGUCUUGACAUCCUCUGACAACCCUAGAGAUAGGGCUUUCCCUUCAGGACAGAGUGACAGGUGGUGCAUGCUGUCGUCAGCUCGUGUCGUGAGAUGUGGGUUAAGUCCCCGCAACGAGCCGCAAUCCU
This 1085-nucleotide ribosomal RNA is filed under the name Bacillus stratosphericus. RNAcentral's name for it is "bacterial SSU rRNA". It matches the Rfam family "Bacterial small subunit ribosomal RNA", at positions 34 to 1105 of the family's 1533-position model. The record is from RNAcentral. Lineage: Bacteria; Bacillati; Bacillota; Bacilli; Caryophanales; Bacillaceae.